Molecule: ribosomal RNA, 490 nt
Filed under: uncultured bacterium
Lineage: Bacteria
Description: partial 16S ribosomal RNA
Rfam family: Bacterial small subunit ribosomal RNA
Source: RNAcentral
GUUGAACGCUGGCGGCAGGCCUAACACAUGCAAGUCGAACGGUAACAGGAAGCAGCUUGCUGCUUUGCUGACGAGUGGCGGACGGGUGAGUAAUGUCUGGGAAACUGCCUGAUGGAGGGGGAUAACUACUGGAAACGGUAGCUAAUACCGCAUAACGUCGCAAGACCAAAGAGGGGGACCUUCGGGCCUCUUGCCAUCGGAUGUGCCCAGAUGGGAUUAGCUAGUAGGUGGGGUAACGGCUCACCUAGGCGACGAUCCCUAGCUGGUCUGAGAGGAUGACCAGCCACACUGGAACUGAGACACGGUCCAGACUCCUACGGGAGGCAGCAGUGGGGAAUAUUGCACAAAGGGCGCAAGCCUGAUGCAGCCAUGCCGCGUGUAUGAAGAAGGCCUUCGGGUUGUAAAGUACUUUCAGCGGGGAGGAAGGGAGUAAAGUUAAUACCUUUGCUCAUUGACGUUACCCGCAGAAGAAGCACCGGCUAACUCCGUG